This 301-nucleotide ribosomal RNA is filed under the name uncultured bacterium. Its description in RNAcentral is "partial 16S ribosomal RNA". It matches the Rfam family "Bacterial small subunit ribosomal RNA", at positions 509 to 809 of the family's 1533-position model. The record is from RNAcentral.
CAGCCGCCACGGGAAUACGGAGGGUGCAAGCGUUAUCCGGAUUUAUUGGGUUUAAAGGGUCCGUAGGCGGAUCUGUAAGUCAGUGGUGAAAUCUCACAGCUUAACUGUGAAACUGCCAUUGAUACUGCAGGUCUUGAGUAAAUUUGAAGUGGCUGGAAUAAGUAGUGUAGCGGUGAAAUGCAUAGAUAUUACUUAGAACACCAAUUGCGAAGGCAGGUCACUAAGAUUUAACUGACGCUGAUGGACGAAAGCGUGGGGAGCGAACAGGAUUAGAUACCCCUGUAGUCCCUGUCUCUUAUAU